AGUAUUAUGCCUGAUAAAAAGGAAUAAAUUGUAAAUUUAUGCAUGAAUUAAAAUUCUAAUACUA
This 64-nucleotide transfer RNA is filed under the name Megachile strupigera. RNAcentral describes it as "tRNA-Tyr". Lineage: Eukaryota; Metazoa; Arthropoda; Insecta; Hymenoptera; Megachilidae. The record is from RNAcentral.